UAGCACAUCCGACCCGGAGCCCAGCACUCC
RNAcentral lists this non-coding RNA (30 nucleotides) under Mus musculus (house mouse). Lineage: Eukaryota; Metazoa; Chordata; Mammalia; Rodentia; Muridae. The record is from RNAcentral.